AACGGUACAGGAUAGCUUGCCAUCGCUGACAGAGUGGCGGACGGGUGAGUAAUACUUAGGGAUCUGCCUCUGUGUGGGGGAUAACUAUUGGAAACGAUAGCUAAUACCGCAUAAUGUCUACGGACCAAAGCGGGCUUCGGCUCGUGCGCAGAGAGGAACCUAAGCGAGAUUAGCUAGUUGGUGAGGUAAAGGCUCACCAAGGCGACGAUCUCUAGCUGUUCUGAGAGGAAGAUCAGCCACACUGGAACUGAGACACGGUCCAGACUCCUACGGGAGGCAGCAGUGGGGAAUAUUGCACAAUGGGGGAAACCCUGAUGCAGCCAUGCCGCGUGUGUGAAGAAGGCCUACGGGUUGUAAAGCACUUUCAGUUGUGAGGAAAGUUUAGUAGUUAAUACCUGCUAGAUGUGACGUUAGCAACAGAAGAAGCACCGGCUAACUCCGUGCCAGCAGCCGCGGUAAUACGGAGGGUGCGAGCGUUAAUCGGAAUUACUGGGCGUAAAGCGCACGCAGGCGGUCUGUUAAGCUAGAUGUGAAAGCCCCGCGCUCAACGUGGGAGGGUCAUUUAGAACUGGCAGACUAG
RNAcentral lists this ribosomal RNA (580 nucleotides) under uncultured Gammaproteobacteria bacterium. RNAcentral's name for it is "bacterial SSU rRNA". It matches the Rfam family "Bacterial small subunit ribosomal RNA", at positions 65 to 644 of the family's 1533-position model. The record is from RNAcentral. Lineage: Bacteria; Pseudomonadati; Pseudomonadota; Gammaproteobacteria.